ACGUGAUCCGGUUUCGUGGGUUGUUUCUGUUUCAAAAUGGAGUUGUCUGAGUCGGUGCAGAAAGGGAUGCAGUCUCUAGCAGACCCGUCGCUUUUCGACCUGAAGACCUCCUCUGUGUUGAUAUAAUUAACCUUUCGCAGUUCGCUAACCGCCCAUGCCGACCGUAGUGUUCUCGAUCAACCUGAAUUGAUCUGCCACCACCUGCAUACUGGAGGGGGUCAAACAAAAUGUGGACAAAUCCACUAUAAGCUUGUGCCUGGAGGAUGUUAGGUUUGAUGCGGAGAGAACAUAUGUAUUCUACAUCGCAUACCAGAAUACCAACAACGGAGGAUCGUCGGAAGAGGUCCAUUUUAGCUGCACUAUGGAACAACUUCAGGAUUUGGUGGGAAAGAUAAAAGACGCUGCCAAGAGUCUUGAGGGCUAUGCAGUUGUGAGCCUAGCCUGCUCGAACAGUGGAAUCCGGUUUCUCACGUGAUCUCCUCUGCUUCCUUCAUCUCCUGAAAGCACUGAAGUUCAGCGAUUUCAAGCGGCGUUGAUAUCCGCUUUGUAUUUUAUACUCAUUUCAUUCGUCAUUAAAUAUUUAUCCGUUCAA
Long non-coding RNA from Oncorhynchus kisutch (coho salmon), 592 nucleotides. RefSeq lists it as uncharacterized. NCBI's taxonomy places the organism in Eukaryota, Metazoa, Chordata, Actinopteri, Salmoniformes, Salmonidae. The record is from RefSeq and is a predicted model, not a curated record. The transcript is spliced from 5 exons.